GCAAACUUGGUCAUUUAGAGGAAGUAAAAGUCGUAACAAGGUUUCCGUAGGUGAACCUGCGGAAGGAUCAUUAUUGAUUAACAAAAUCUUACUUGCUGAUGAGGUAUUGAGAGGGAGAAGUGUGGUUGUGUGUUGAGGGCAAAAGUCUCUUUGUGUGGACGAUUUGCCACAACGCCGCCGCGCCACGCCUCUCCCCAACACAAACCACUCUUGCUAUUAAACUGCCAAUAUAAGAAUUCAUUAACUAAUAAAACUUGCAACAAUGGAUCUCUUGGCUCUUGCAUCGAUGAAGAACGCAGC
Molecule: unclassified non-coding RNA, 300 nt
Filed under: uncultured fungus
Lineage: Eukaryota; Fungi
Description: partial contains small subunit ribosomal RNA, internal transcribed spacer 1, and 5.8S ribosomal RNA
Rfam family: Eukaryotic small subunit ribosomal RNA (bases 1-73)
Source: RNAcentral